Molecule: long non-coding RNA, 363 nt
Organism: Cucumis melo (muskmelon)
Lineage: Eukaryota; Viridiplantae; Streptophyta; Magnoliopsida; Cucurbitales; Cucurbitaceae
Exons: 2
Source: RefSeq, a predicted model, not a curated record
UUUGUGUUGAUAUUUUUGUUAUGAAAUGCAAUGGUAGGAAAGGGGAAGGCCUUUAAUAACACUAGAGUGAAGCAUAGAGUGAAGCGGUCGAUUAAGGUGCCCACGAUUAGUAACAAGCUAGCAGAUAUGAUGAUUAUUCAUGGAGGAAAUAUGGCCAAAAGCCAAUCAAGGGUUCUCCACACCCAAGAUAAUUGAAGUGAUAUCGGGUUGAAAGCUAAGCGAUUGUGCAGAAAUGGCCAAGCGACUGUUGAAAAUUGAAGACUGAGAAGGCAUUUAGGAUUUUUAAUUAUUUAAUUCUUGUAUUAGAAUCUUUUUUCAUGUACUAUUGUAGAAUGUAUAUAUAAACAUAAUAUUAAUAUUUUA